This 2911-nucleotide ribosomal RNA is filed under the name Gillisella vitis. RNAcentral describes it as "Agrobacterium vitis 23S ribosomal RNA". It matches the Rfam family "Bacterial large subunit ribosomal RNA". The record is from RNAcentral. Lineage: Bacteria; Pseudomonadati; Pseudomonadota; Alphaproteobacteria; Hyphomicrobiales; Rhizobiaceae.
GAUUAAGUGUCGUAAGGGCAUUUGGUGGAUGCCUUGGCAUGCACAGGCGAUGAAGGACGUGAUACGCUGCGAUAAGCCGUGGGGAGCUGCGAAUAAGCUUUGAUCCAUGGAUUUCCGAAUGGGGAAACCCACCUUAAAUGCUUAGAAAAUCCAAACUGUCAGUGAUGACGGCUUGGGUUUCUAAGCAUUGUUAAUAAGGUAUCUUAUCCUGAAUACAUAGGGGUAAGAAGCGAACUCGGGGAACUGAAACAUCUAAGUACCCGAAGGAAAGGACAUCAACCGAGACUCCGCAAGUAGUGGCGAGCGAACGCGGACCAGGCCAGUGGCAAUGAGGAAUAAAGCGGAACAAGUUGGAAAGCUUGGCCAUAGUGGGUGACAGCCCCGUACGCGUAGAACACUCAUUGUCCUAGAGUAGGGCGGGACACGUGAAAUCCUGUUCGAACAUGGGGAGACCACUCUCCAAGCCUAAGUACUCGUGCAUGACCGAUAGCGAACAAGUACCGUGAGGGAAAGGUGAAAAGCACCCCGACAAGGGGAGUGAAAUAGAACCUGAAACCGGAUGCCUACAAACAGUAGGAGGGCGAAAGCCUGACUGCGUACCUUUUGUAUAAUGGGUCAACGACUUAGUGUAACUAGCAAGCUUAAGCCGGUAGGUGUAGGCGCAGCGAAAGCGAGUGUUAAUAGCGCGAUUGAGUUAGUUGCAUUAGACCCGAAACCGAGUGAUCUAGCCAUGAGCAGGUUGAAGGUUGGGUAACACCAACUGGAGGACCGAACCCGCAUCUGUUGCAAUAGAUUGGGAUGACUUGUGGUUAGGGGUGAAAGGCCAAUCAAACUCGGAAAUAGCUGGUUCUCCGCGAAAACUAUUUAGGUAGUGCGUCGAUCGAAUACCUCAGGGGGUAGAGCACUGGAUGGGCUAUGGGGACUCACCGUCUUACUGAUCCUAACCAAACUCCGAAUACCUGAGAGUACUAAUCGGCAGACACACGGCGGGUGCUAACGUCCGUCGUGAAGAGGGCAACAACCCUGACCUCCAGCUAAGGUCCCCAAGUCAUGGCUAAGUGGGAAAGGAUGUGAGGAUCCCAAAACAACCAGGAUGUUGGCUUAGAAGCAGCCAUCAUUUAAAGAAAGCGUAACAGCUCACUGGUCUAAAUAAGGGUCUUUGCGCCGAAAAUGUAACGGGGCUAAAGCCAUGCACCGAAGCUGAGGAUGUGCAGUAAUGCACGUGGUAGCGGAGCGUUCCGUAAGCCUGUGAAGGGACAGUCGUGAGACAUCCUGGAGGUAUCGGAAGUGCGAAUGUUGACAUGAGUAACGAUAAAGGGGGUGAGAGACCCCCNNNNNNNNNNNNNNNNNNNNNNNNNNNNNNNNNNNNNNNNNNNNNNNNNNNNNNNNNNNNNNNNNNNNNNNNNNNNNNNNNNNNNNNNNNNNNNNNNNNACCCCCUCGCCGAAAGACCAAGGGUUCCUGCUUAAAGUUAAUCUGAGCAGGGUUAGCCGGCCCCUAAGGCGAGGCAGAAAUGCGUAGUCGAUGGGAACCACGUUAAUAUUCGUGGGCCUGGUGGUAGUGACGGAUCACACAAAUUGUACAGUCUUAUUGGAUUGAUUGUGCAGUGGAGUGGUUCCAGGAAAUAGCUCCACCGUAUAGACCGUACCCGAAACCGACACAGGUGGUCAGGUAGAGUAUACCAAGGCGCUUGAGAGAACUAUGUUGAAGGAACUCGGCAAAUUGCACGCGUAACUUCGGAAGAAGCGUGACCCCUUUUUACGCAAGUGGAGAGGGGUGGCACAGACCAGGGGGUAGCGACUGUUUAUCAAAAACACAGGGCUCUGCGAAGUCGCAAGACGACGUAUAGGGUCUGACGCCUGCCCGGUGCUGGAAGGUUAAGAGGAGAGGUGCAAGCUUUGAAUCGAAGCCCCAGUAAACGGCGGCCGUAACUAUAACGGUCCUAAGGUAGCGAAAUUCCUUGUCGGGUAAGUUCCGACCUGCACGAAUGGCGUAACGACUUCCCCGCUGUCUCCAACAUAGACUCAGUGAAAUUGAAUUCCCCGUGAAGAUGCGGGGUUCCUGCGGUCAGACGGAAAGACCCCGUGCACCUUUACUAUAGCUUUACACUGGCAUUCGUGUCGGCAUGUGUAGGAUAGGUGGUAGGCUUUGAAGCUUGGACGCCAGUUCGAGUGGAGCCAUCCUUGAAAUACCACCCUUAUCGUCAUGGAUGUCUAACCGCGGUCCGUUAUCCGGAUCCGGGACAGUGUAUGGUGGGUAGUUUGACUGGGGCGGUCGCCUCCGAAAGAGUAACGGAGGCGCGCGAUGGUGGGCUCAGACCGGUCGGAAAUCGGUCGUCGAGUGCAAUGGCAUAAGCCCGCCUGACUGCGAGACUGACAAGUCGAGCAGAGACGAAAGUCGGUCAUAGUGAUCCGGUGGUCCCGCGUGGAAGGGCCAUCGCUCAACGGAUAAAAGGUACGCCGGGGAUAACAGGCUGAUGACCCCCAAGAGUCCAUAUCGACGGGGUUGUUUGGCACCUCGAUGUCGGCUCAUCGCAUCCUGGGGCUGGAGCAGGUCCCAAGGGUUUGGCUGUUCGCCAAUUAAAGCGGUACGUGAGCUGGGUUCAGAACGUCGUGAGACAGUUCGGUCCCUAUCUGCCGUGGGUGUAGGAAUAUUGACAGGAUCUGUCCCUAGUACGAGAGGACCGGGAUGGACAUAUCUCUGGUGGACCUGUUGUCGUGCCAACGGCAUAGCAGGGUAGCUAUAUAUGGAAUGGAUAACCGCUGAAGGCAUCUAAGCGGGAAACCAACCUGAAAACGAGUAUUCCCUAUCAGAGCCGUGGAAGACGACCACGUUGAUAGGACGGGUGUGGAAGCAGGGUAACCUGCGAAGCUUACCGUUACUAAUAGCUCGAUUGGCUUAAUCGUUCUCAUU